Molecule: ribosomal RNA, 496 nt
Filed under: uncultured bacterium
Lineage: Bacteria
Description: partial 16S ribosomal RNA
Rfam family: Bacterial small subunit ribosomal RNA
Source: RNAcentral
AUGCACGCUGGCGGCGUGCCUAAUCCAUGCAAGUCGAGCGAACGGACGAGAAGCUUGCUUCUCUGAUGUUAUCGGCGGACGGGUGAGUAACACGUGGAUAACCUACCUAUAAGACUGGGAUAACUUCGGGAAACCGGAGCUAAUACCGGAUAAUAUUUUGAACCGCAUGGUUCAAAAGUGAAAGACGGUCUUGCUGUCACUUAUAGAUGGAUCCGCGCUGCAUUAGCUAGUUGGUAAGGUAACGGCUUACCAAGGCAACGAUGCAUAGCCGACCUGAGAGGGUGAUCGGCCACACUGGAACUGAGACACGGUCCAGACUCCUACGGGAGGCAGCAGUAGGGAAUCUUCCGCAAUGGGCGAAAGCCUGACGGAGCAACGCCGCGUGAGUGAUGAAGGUCUUCGGAUCGUAAAACUCUGUUAUUAGGGAAGAACAUAUGUGUAAGUAACUGUGCACAUCUUGACGGUACCUAAUCAGAAAGCCACGGCUAACUACGUG